Molecule: transfer RNA, 75 nt
Filed under: Entomophthora muscae
Lineage: Eukaryota; Fungi; Entomophthoromycota; Entomophthoromycetes; Entomophthorales; Entomophthoraceae
Description: tRNA-Arg
Rfam family: tRNA
About the family: Transfer RNA (tRNA) molecules are approximately 80 nucleotides in length. Their secondary structure includes four short double-helical elements and three loops (D, anti-codon, and T loops).
Source: RNAcentral
ACUCGUUUAGCUAAAUUAGGAUAAAGCUUUAACCUUCUAAGUUAAAGAUUAUAGGUUCAAAUCCUAUAACGAGUA